UAUGCUUUGUUAUUCCUGUAUUGUUUUGAGAGUGAGACAAAUGUACUUACGAUGUUCCUCCACAGGGCCCUGUUGGUGGGACUGGCAUAAGUGGCUUUCCUGGUCUAAGGGGAGACCCAGGGCCCGAGGGACCACGAGGACUGCCUGGUAUGGUGGGACCUCAGGUGGGCCUGAUUUUUGCUUCUACCAAUGUUUUACAUCUUAGGAGAAUCCUAAGUGAUUACAUUUUAAACUCUUCCUUCCUUUUGUUCCGCUCUCUCUGCGACAGGGCCCAACAGGACGAGCCGGCCUGCCUGGAUUGAAAGGUGAUAAGGUGAUCUAAAUAUUUAUAUUAUUGCAGUGCAUCUGUGUGUAAUGUGUGACUUGGACGUACUAUAUGAGAUCCUUGUGACAUUUUGCUAACACAUCCAGCAAACUCAGUGCUAUGUAUUAGUGUUUAAUCAUUUUUUCAUAUUAAACACUGAUAUUGCUUCAGUGGUUCUUUACAGACUCUUCAUUUGCUUUCACAACAUUGAACUCAACCUAUCAAACUGAAUUUCGAUAGUGCUGGUGCAUUAAACAGCCUCUGUGUAGUCUGUGCCGUUCUUUUGUCUGUGGUUUCUUCAGAUCAUUGCGGCAAUGCAGUGUUGUGUUAUAUCUCUGUUUGAUACUAUGAAAUCUAGGGUGAAACCGGACAAAGGGGCGAGCCAGGAGAGAUGGGGUACCAGGGGGAUAAGGGUGCUGCUGGUGCACCUGGUCUUCCUGGGCCCAGAGGGAAACCAGGGCCACCGGGUAAAAUUGGAGAAAUGGGUGUGCCUGGACCACCUGGGCCUCCAGGACCAGAGGUAGGGCAUACGUGUUUGUGCAUAUUUUUUCAUCAUACUUUUCUGACAGAUGCU
Molecule: long non-coding RNA, 878 nt
Filed under: Oreochromis niloticus (Nile tilapia)
Lineage: Eukaryota; Metazoa; Chordata; Actinopteri; Cichliformes; Cichlidae
Description: lncRNA (ENSONIG00000033997.1)
Source: RNAcentral